This 209-nucleotide ribosomal RNA is filed under the name uncultured bacterium. RNAcentral's name for it is "partial 16S ribosomal RNA". It matches the Rfam family "Bacterial small subunit ribosomal RNA", at positions 335 to 526 of the family's 1533-position model. The record is from RNAcentral.
CGCCUCCCUCCGCCGCCACUCACGACUACCGUACGGGACGGCGAGCGAGGUGGGAAGUCGUUGCACAAGUACGGGGAAACCCGUACGGACUGCAGCGACGCCGCGNGAGCGAUGAAGCCGUCGGGUGUAAGCUCUUCGGCAGGGAAGAGUUAUGACGGUACCUGCAGAAGCAGCUGCGGCUAACUACGUGCCAGCAGCCGCGGUAAUAC